CGCUGGCGGCAGGCUUAACACAUGCAAGUCGAACGGUUGUAGCAAUACAGCAGUGGCAGACGGGUGAGUAACACGUGGGAACCUUCCUAGGGGUACGGAACAACUCAGGGAAACUUGAGCUAAUACCGUAUACGUCCGUGAGGAGAAAGAUUUAUCGCCCUUAGACGGGCCCGCGUCGGAUUAGCUAGUUGGUGGGGUAACGGCCUACCAAGGCGACGAUCCGUAGCUGAUCUUAGAGGAUGAUCAGCCACACUGGGACUGAGACACGGCCCAGACUCCUACGGGAGGCAGCAGUGGGGAAUCUUGGACAAUGGGCGCAAGCCUGAUCCAGCCAUGCCGCGUGAGUGAAGAAGGUCUUCGGAUUGUAAGGCUCUUUUGCCAGGGACGAUAAUGACGGUACCUGGAGAAUAAGCCCCGGCAAACUUCGUG
RNAcentral lists this ribosomal RNA (429 nucleotides) under uncultured bacterium. RNAcentral describes it as "bacterial SSU rRNA". It matches the Rfam family "Bacterial small subunit ribosomal RNA", at positions 34 to 507 of the family's 1533-position model. The record is from RNAcentral.